This 394-nucleotide ribosomal RNA is filed under the name uncultured bacterium. RNAcentral describes it as "partial 16S ribosomal RNA". The record is from RNAcentral.
ACGGCUACCUUGUUACGACUUCACCCCAGUCAUGAAUCACUCCGUGGUAACCGUCCCCCUUGCGGUUAGACUAGCUACUUCUGGAGCAACCCACUCCCAUGGUGUGACGGGCGGUGUGUACAAGGCCCGGGAACGUAUUCACCGUGACAUUCUGAUUCACGAUUACUAGCGAUUCCGACUUCACGCAGUCGAGUUGCAGACUGCGAUCCGGACUACGAUCGGUUUUAUGGGAUUAGCUCCACCUCGCGGCUUGGCAACCCUUUGUACCGACCAUUGUAGCACGUGUGUAGCCCUGGCCGUAAGGGCCAUGAUGACUUGACGUCAUCCCCACCUUCCUCCGGUUUGUCACCGGCAGUCUCCUUAGAGUGCCCACCAUAACGUGCUGGUAACUAAG